AAAUUGAAGAGUUUGAUCAUGGCUCAGAUUGAACGCUGGCGGCAGGCCUAACACAUGCAAGUCGAGCGGUAGCACAGAGAGCUUGCUCUCGGGUGACGAGCGGCGGACGGGUGAGUAAUGUCUGGGAAACUGCCUGAUGGAGGGGGAUAACUACUGGAAACGGUAGCUAAUACCGCAUAACGUCGCAAGACCAAAGUGGGGGACCUUCGGGCCUCAUGCCAUCAGAUGUGCCCAGAUGGGAUUAGCUAGUAGGUGGGGUAAUGGCUCACCUAGGCGACGAUCCCUAGCUGGUCUGAGAGGAUGACCAGCCACACUGGAACUGAGACACGGUCCAGACUCCUACGGGAGGCAGCAGUGGGGAAUAUUGCACAAUGGGCGCAAGCCUGAUGCAGCCAUGCCGCGUGUGUGAAGAAGGCCUUCGGGUUGUAAAGCACUUUCAGCGGGGAGGAAGGCGUUAAGGUUAAUAACCUUGGCGAUUGACGUUACCCGCAGAAGAAGCACCGGCUAACUCCGUGCCAGCAGCCGCGGUAAUACGGAGGGUGCAAGCGUUAAUCGGAAUUACUGGGCGUAAAGCGCACGCAGGCGGUCUGUCAAGUCGGAUGUGAAAUCCCCGGGCUCAACCUGGGAACUGCAUUCGAAACUGGCAGGCUAGAGUCUUGUAGAGGGGGGUAGAAUUCCAGGUGUAGCGGUGAAAUGCGUAGAGAUCUGGAGGAAUACCGGUGGCGAAGGCGGCCCCCUGGACAAAGACUGACGCUCAGGUGCGAAAGCGUGGGGAGCAAACAGGAUUAGAUACCCUGGUAGUCCACGCCGUAAACGAUGUCGAUUUGGAGGUUGUGCCCUUGAGGCGUGGCUUCCGGAGCUAACGCGUUAAAUCGACCGCCUGGGGAGUACGGCCGCAAGGUUAAAACUCAAAUGAAUUGACGGGGGCCCGCACAAGCGGUGGAGCAUGUGGUUUAAUUCGAUGCAACGCGAAGAACCUUACCUGGUCUUGACAUCCACAGAACUUUCCAGAGAUGGAUUGGUGCCUUCGGGAACUGUGAGACAGGUGCUGCAUGGCUGUCGUCAGCUCGUGUUGUGAAAUGUUGGGUUAAGUCCCGCAACGAGCGCAACCCUUAUCCUUUGUUGCCAGCGGUUCGGCCGGGAACUCAAAGGAGACUGCCAGUGAUAAACUGGAGGAAGGUGGGGAUGACGUCAAGUCAUCAUGGCCCUUACGACCAGGGCUACACACGUGCUACAAUGGCAUAUACAAAGAGAAGCGACCUCGCGAGAGCAAGCGGACCUCAUAAAGUAUGUCGUAGUCCGGAUUGGAGUCUGCAACUCGACUCCAUGAAGUCGGAAUCGCUAGUAAUCGUAGAUCAGAAUGCUACGGUGAAUACGUUCCCGGGCCUUGUACACACCGCCCGUCACACCAUGGGAGUGGGUUGCAAAAGAAGUAGGUAGCUUAACCUUCGGGAGGGCGCUUACCACUUUGUGAUUCAUGACUGGGGUGAAGUCGUAACAAGGUAACCGUAGGGGAACCUGCGGUUGGAUCACCUCCUUACCUUAAAGAA
RNAcentral lists this ribosomal RNA (1550 nucleotides) under Klebsiella pneumoniae. RNAcentral describes it as "bacterial SSU rRNA". It matches the Rfam family "Bacterial small subunit ribosomal RNA". Lineage: Bacteria; Pseudomonadati; Pseudomonadota; Gammaproteobacteria; Enterobacterales; Enterobacteriaceae. The record is from RNAcentral.